GAUGAACGCUGGCGGCGUGCUUAACACAUGCAAGUCGAACGAAGCAUUUAAGACAGAUUUCUUUGGGAUGAAGUUUUUUAUGACUGAGUGGCGGACGGGUGAGUAACGCGUGGGUAACCUGCCUCACACAGGGGGGAUAACAGUUGGAAACGACUGCUAAUACCGCAUAAGCGCACGGUAUCGCAUGAUACAGUGUGAAAAACUCCGGUGGUAUAAGAUGGACCCGCGUCUGAUUAGCUUGUUGGUGAGGUAACGGCCCACCAAAGCGACGAUCAGUAGCCGGCCUGAGAGGGUGAACGGCCACAUUGGGACUGAGACACGGCCCAAAACUCCUACGGGAGGCAGCAGUGGGGAAUAUUCGCACAAUGGGGGAAACCCUGAUGCAGCGACGCCGCGUGAGUGAGAAGUAUUUCGGUAUGUAAAGCUCUAUCAGCAGGGAAGAAAGUGACGGUACCUGAAUAAGAAGCCCCGG
RNAcentral lists this ribosomal RNA (472 nucleotides) under uncultured bacterium. RNAcentral's name for it is "bacterial SSU rRNA". It matches the Rfam family "Bacterial small subunit ribosomal RNA", at positions 28 to 496 of the family's 1533-position model. The record is from RNAcentral.